GACGUAGGGCGCAAGCGUUGUCCGGAUUUAUUGGGCGUAAAGAGCGUGUAGGCGGCCAGGCAGGUCCGUUGUGAAAACUCGAGGCUCAACCUCGAGACGUCGAUGGAAACCGUCUGGCUAGAGUCCGGAAGAGGAGAGUGGAAUUCCUGGUGUAGCGGUGAAAUGCGCAGAUAUCAGGAAGAACACCUAUGGCGAAGGCAGCUCUCUGGGACGGUACUGACGCUGAGACGCGAAAGCGUGGGGAGCGAACAGG
RNAcentral lists this ribosomal RNA (253 nucleotides) under uncultured bacterium. Its description in RNAcentral is "partial 16S ribosomal RNA". It matches the Rfam family "Bacterial small subunit ribosomal RNA", at positions 524 to 776 of the family's 1533-position model. The record is from RNAcentral.